CCUACGGGAGGCAGCAGUGGGGAAUAUUGGACAAUGGGCGGAAGCCUGAUCCAGCAACGCCGCGUGAGGGAUGACGGCCUUCGGGUUGUAAACCUCUUUCAACUCCGACGAAGCGCAAGUGACGGUAGGGGUAGAAGAAGCACCGGCCAACUACGUGCCAGCAGCCGCGGUAAUACGUAGGGUGCGAGCGUUGUCCGGAAUUAUUGGGCGUAAAGGGCUCGUAGGCGGUUUGUCGCGUCGGGAGUGAAAACAUCGGGCUUAACUCGGUGCUUGCUUUCGAUACGGGCAGACUUGAGGCAUGCAGGGGAGAACGGAAUUCCUGGUGUAGCGGUGAAAUGCGCAGAUAUCAGGAGGAACACCGGUGGCGAAGGCGGUUCUCUGGGCAUGUUCUGACGCUGAGGAGCGAAAGUGUGGGGAGCGAACAGGAUUAGAUACCCUGG
RNAcentral lists this ribosomal RNA (440 nucleotides) under uncultured bacterium. RNAcentral describes it as "bacterial SSU rRNA". It matches the Rfam family "Bacterial small subunit ribosomal RNA", at positions 338 to 790 of the family's 1533-position model. The record is from RNAcentral.